AAGAGGUUCUAUUUCAACUGUCAAAAGUAAAGACAAAUAAGUCAAUGGGACCUGAUGGAAUACACCCAAAGCUAUUAAAAGAGCUUAGUGGUGUACUAGCAAAACCGUUAACAAAUUUAUUUAACCAAUCAUUGUUAAUAGGAGUAGUCCCAGAAAAUUGGAAGUUAGCGAAUGUUGUGCCCAUUUACAAGAAAGGUAAUAGGGAGGAGUUGG
RNAcentral lists this long non-coding RNA (213 nucleotides) under Pelobates cultripes (western spadefoot toad). Lineage: Eukaryota; Metazoa; Chordata; Amphibia; Anura; Pelobatidae. The record is from RNAcentral.